UUUUUGAUUUCCCUACUAAUU
This 21-nucleotide non-coding RNA is filed under the name Caenorhabditis elegans. Lineage: Eukaryota; Metazoa; Nematoda; Chromadorea; Rhabditida; Rhabditidae. The record is from RNAcentral.